AAAAGAAGCGCGUGUGACGUUUGGAGCUAUGCGGUAUAUAAUACAUCUCAAUCCUAAAGACUGGAGUCGGACUGAAGAACAACGUGUUCCACAGAAUUACAGAGGAUUCCUCACCUUUGCUGGGCAUUUUGUGUGCUGCUGGAGGGUGAGGCCUCUCUUGCCUUUCUCUGUCUCCCUGCUCUGCUCAAAACGAUGGAGCUUUUUUGGCCUGCGCUGUGCUAAAGACAGCCCCCAACCCACUGGCUAAAAAUAGCAUCACCGCUUUCCCCAACCAAGAAGACAGAGGCUAAUCUACUGUACCAACACAAUCAUAUAAACAUUAAAUUCAGGUAGUCCUCUACUUACGAUGGAGAUACGUUAGAGGACCCCAUCAUUAGUCAAAAAUAUCCAAGAGACAUACUUGGGUGCUUGGACGACAUGCCUUUAUCACUAAAAUUGCUGUUUGAAACUGUUUGUAACAGAAAAAAGCAAGAGUGGGGCAUCUCACAGGGCGAGAGAUACGCUCAUCCCAGCUGCGUGUUCAAAGCAUCGUACAUCAUACGCUGCUGCCAUGUGGCUGUUGUGUGAAAUUUUUAUAUUUUUACAAUUUUAUCUUAUCGCUAUCAUCAUUGUAAGAUUGAAAAAUCGAAAGUAACCUAUGCCCUGACUGGAUGACUCUAGAGUCCGAUUGUGGCUCUCCACUAGCUCAGGAAGUUGGUUUUCCACAACCCGCUGCUCCUCCUCUCCGCUCAAGAAGUUAAGAGGGUCCCAUUCGACAGCAG
Molecule: long non-coding RNA, 761 nt
Organism: Silurus meridionalis
Lineage: Eukaryota; Metazoa; Chordata; Actinopteri; Siluriformes; Siluridae
Exons: 6
Source: RefSeq, a predicted model, not a curated record